RNAcentral lists this ribosomal RNA (292 nucleotides) under uncultured prokaryote. Its description in RNAcentral is "partial 16S ribosomal RNA". It matches the Rfam family "Archaeal small subunit ribosomal RNA", at positions 455 to 746 of the family's 1478-position model. The record is from RNAcentral.
GUGCCAGCAGCCGCGGUAAUACCGGCAGCUCGAGUGAUGACCGAUUUUAUUGGGCCUAAAGCGUCCGUAGCUGGCCAGGCAAGUCCGUUGGGAAAUCCACCUGCUCAACAGGUGGGCGUCCAGCGGAAACUGCUUGGCUUGGGACCGGAAGAUCCAAGGGGUACGUCCGGGGUAGGAGUGAAAUCCUGUAAUCCUGGACGGACCACCGGUGGCGAAAGCGCCUCAGGAGGACGGAUCCGACAGCGAGGGACGAAAGCUAGGGUCUCGAACCGGAUUAGAAACCCCUGUAGUC